This 353-nucleotide unclassified non-coding RNA is filed under the name Hevea brasiliensis (rubber tree). Lineage: Eukaryota; Viridiplantae; Streptophyta; Magnoliopsida; Malpighiales; Euphorbiaceae. The record is from RNAcentral.
UGAGGAGGAAGGCUCACAUAAUUCACAUUGGGUUUGAAUGAGAGAACUACAAUUCGAAGAGGAGAGAGAGGGGAAAGGGGAGAGGAAAGGAAAGGGGGAGAGAAAAAUCAUUCUGGGUAACUGCAGCCAGGAUCAUCACUUUUUCUUUUUUCAGUUUUACACUUAAUUCCACCUAUCAAUAUGUCAUAGGAUUGCCAUAUAACUAGAAUCCUAGUUGGUAUCAUGGUGGCACUCUAUAAUUUCUACAAGAGACUUCGCUACGACUUGGUCGGGGCAGUAGCAUCACAGGGAAUCGAUCGACAGGCGUGUAAAAUCACACCUGUGUAAAAAAAUAAGGCAAAAGCUGUCACGUA